AAACUCAAAGGAAUUGACGGGGACCCGCACAAGCAGCGGAGCGUGUGGUUUAAUUCGAUGCUACACGAAGAACCUUACCAGGGUUUGACAUGCAAGUGGUAGGAAUCUGAAAAGGGACCGACCUUCGGGGAGCUUGCACAGGUGCUGCAUGGCUGUCGUCAGCUCGUGUCGUGAGAUGUUCGGUUAAGUCCGCUAACGAGCGCAACCCUCACUGUGUGUUAUAUGUGUCACACGGGACUGCCGGUUUUAAGCCGGAGGAAGGUGGGAUGACGUCAAGUCAGCAUGGCCUUUAUAUCCUGGGCUACACACACGCUACAAUGGUCGGUACAAUAGGUUGCCAAGCCGCGAGGCGGAGCCAAUCCACAAAGCCGGCCUCAGUUCAGAUUGUAGGCUGCAACUCGCCUGCAUGAAGAUGGAGUUGCUAGUAACCGCAGGUCAGCAAUACUGCGGUGAAUACGUUCCCGGGUCUU
This 470-nucleotide ribosomal RNA is filed under the name uncultured Anaerolineaceae bacterium. Its description in RNAcentral is "bacterial SSU rRNA". It matches the Rfam family "Bacterial small subunit ribosomal RNA", at positions 897 to 1382 of the family's 1533-position model. Lineage: Bacteria; Bacillati; Chloroflexota; Anaerolineae; Anaerolineales; Anaerolineaceae. The record is from RNAcentral.